CCGACUUUAGCUCAGUUGGAAGAGCAUCAGACUGUAAUUGGAUAUCGUAAUAAUAAUCUGGGUGUCGCCUGUUCGAACCAGGCAAGUCGGA
This is a non-coding RNA of Mycena leptocephala, 91 nucleotides long. The record is from the annotation of a GenBank genome assembly. Lineage: Eukaryota; Fungi; Basidiomycota; Agaricomycetes; Agaricales; Mycenaceae.